This 249-nucleotide long non-coding RNA is filed under the name Mytilus galloprovincialis (Mediterranean mussel). The record is from RNAcentral. Lineage: Eukaryota; Metazoa; Mollusca; Bivalvia; Mytilida; Mytilidae.
UUUCGUCAAAAACUCUGGUUUUAGUGAACAACAUUCGUGCAUUUAGGGGCAUCGUCACUUCCAUUCCAAUGUUGAGCGAGUGGUUGGAAAAUAUAAAUACUAUAUUGCACGAUUUAUUCGGCAAACUAAAUUCUCAUAAAUGACAAUCAGCACUGCUGUCAUUAGGGAAUUGUUAUUAAGUACUUACAAAACAAAAAUUAUUUCUAGUUUAUCCUGCACAAUGACGAUCACUAAGACGCUCAAUGAACG